UAUAAUUUAGUAUAUGAAGUACCUAGAUUUUUGAUAUCUAAAGGAAUAGUUUGAUUCUGUUAAUUAUAA
RNAcentral lists this transfer RNA (69 nucleotides) under Rhopaea magnicornis (brown cockchafer). RNAcentral describes it as "tRNA-Gln". The record is from RNAcentral. Lineage: Eukaryota; Metazoa; Arthropoda; Insecta; Coleoptera; Scarabaeidae.